Molecule: non-coding RNA, 26 nt
Filed under: Drosophila erecta
Lineage: Eukaryota; Metazoa; Arthropoda; Insecta; Diptera; Drosophilidae
Also listed under: 11 other names
Source: RNAcentral
CUGGGAAUACCGGGUGCUGUAGGCUU